CAUACAUCCACUCAUUUCCAUAUCCAGAUUCACCCAAAAUUAUUCUACUCCUAUCCAGGAGAGAAUAACCAAAAACAUUCUCCUAUUCCUGUUAUUCCCUAUGAAAUAAAUGCUCAAGUUAUCUUGGUUACUACCACUUGCUAUAUUAUUCCAGAGAGAUGAGUGCUCUAAAAAAAUGAAUACGAGGAAAUAAAAAGGGGCAAGUGCCCGGAACCUCGAAGAAAAGAAAAAAAGUGAGACGAGAGGUAAAAAUGGACAAGUAUCCGACAGUAGAAUUAGGGGUACAAGAUACCCACCUGAGAGAAAAAAAUAAAUAUAUAUAGAGCAUCUCAUUCUCUUGAAAAAGUUUCAAAGUGCAAGGAAGGUAUGUAUCCCCUCAAAAGAGCAAAAGUAGAAUUAGACUUUCACCAUUGUUAUCACCAUCAUCACCAUACACCAUUCAUUCCCCACACAUGCACAUCCUGAUUUGACUUAUUGACUUGUUUCUCUGGAUCCAUGGUUUGACUAUGCAAUAAAUGUCUUGUACGUGUGUAUACUUUAUCUCCCACCUAUGAGCUCCAGAUAUCAAAGCGUUAUUAGAGUAGGAUGAGAGAGAAGGCAAUGUCACUAUGCCUUAUACUACAAAUACCACAUACUUUGAGAGAAGGCAUAUACCAUCACUGCCUUGGUAAGGAUCCAGAAAUACCAUAAAAGAGAGAUCUG
Molecule: long non-coding RNA, 702 nt
Filed under: Sorghum bicolor (sorghum)
Lineage: Eukaryota; Viridiplantae; Streptophyta; Magnoliopsida; Poales; Poaceae
Description: long non-coding RNA (SBIC_LNC001012)
Source: RNAcentral